Dothidotthia symphoricarpi CBS 119687 is the source of this 82-nucleotide non-coding RNA. NCBI's taxonomy places the organism in Eukaryota, Fungi, Ascomycota, Dothideomycetes, Pleosporales, Dothidotthiaceae. The record is from the annotation of a RefSeq genome assembly.
GGCCUGCUGGCCCAAUGGCAAGGCGCUUGACUACGAUUCUUUCGAAAUCAAGAGAUUGCAGGUUCGAUCCCUGCGUAGGUCA